AAUUCCUGGGCUCAAACAAUCCUCAUGCCUCAGCCUCCGAAACUGCUGGGAUUACAGGCAUGAGCCCCGAUGCUUGGCCAAUUUUCUUGUUCUGUAAAGCUGCACUGCUUAAGCACAAGGCCAAAAUGAGGUCUCUCACCACUUCUGCCUGAACUAAACUUACCCAGUGAAUGCUGGGCUGGGCAGUCCAGUCUUCCCCACAUGUGGUAAUGUUCUGCUCUCAGUCAUGUUCUAACCACAAGGCAGCAAACACUGGCGCAGCUGAGCCCGAGGCUGGGGCUGCAGUCUGAACUUUUACAUUACUCAGUUAAUUACAAAGCCAGUCAAAUCACCCCAAAGAUCCACACACCCAAGAGUGCUGGAUAAGAAAAAAAUCCUGCAUAUCAAACCCCUUCUGGGGGAGAGACCAGGGAGAGCGUGGAAGAGAAGAGGUCUGGGGUAUGCAGUGGCUGGUGGCCUAGAGCAAUUCUAACCCAGGAGGCCUCAACAGGGAGCCUGCACCUGAAUGUUGGAAGAAGCAGGGUUUCCGUCAGUCUGUGUUGGCUUUAAAGGAACCAUCCUUCAUGCCCAAAGGAGGCAAGUGUUUGGCAGCUUUUCCAGAUGGCAUGUCUUGCAGUCGUUGAAAAUUUUUUAAAGUGUAAUUCUUGAUAGUGUAUCUCCAAGACAGAGAGACAAGCCCCUAGUCACCCUUCUGAACACCAUAAAGUUUAUUAUAAAGGACUUACAAAGGACAAAGACGAAGAGACACAUAGGGCAAGGUACCAGGGAAGGGGCACAGAGCUUCCAUGCCCUCCCUGGGCGCAUCACUCUACAGGAACCUCCCUGUGUUCAGCUAUCCAGAAGCUCUCCAAACUCCAUCCUCUUGGGCUUUAAUGGAAGCUUCGCAAGGUCAGCAUUCCUUCCCCCAGGGUAUGCGGUGGGGCCCUCUCUGGAGAACCCCAGUUAAUUUUUAAAUAUUAAAAUAAAAAUGCUGGCCAGGCACAGUGACUCACACCUGUAAUCCCAGCACUUUAGGAGGCUGAGGCAGGGGGAUCACUUGAAGUCAGGAAUUCAAGACCAGUCUGACCAGCACGGUGAAACCCCAUCUCUACUAAAAAUACAAAAUUUAGCCAGCUGUGGUGGUGCGUGCCUGUAAUCCCAGCUGCUUGGGAGGCUGAGGCAGGAGAGUCAUCUGAAUCCUGGAGACAGAUGUUGCAGUGAGCUGAGAUUGCACCACUGCACUUCAUCCAGCCUGGGGUGACAGAACGAGACUCCGUUUCAAAAAAAUAAAAGAAUGAAAAUGCUAUGUGGAACAAAAAUUGUAUUCAUUUUUGAAACAAGUUUGUUUAAAUGAAAUGAAAUCCCAAGCAAACAACAAAGCUGUUUCUGAGGAGUGAAAGACCUUUUUUGCUUAAUUCUUCCCAUAGGAGAAAAUUCUUUGAAAUAUUUUCUUGCAAUUCGAUAAAAAUGGAAAGACCCAGCAUGUAGGUAGGGCUGCUUGAUUAUUGCAAUGGAGGGAGGGAAGAUGGGGAAGCACAUGCAGCCCUUCUGUGCACCAGGCUCCAGGUGUGAGGACUCUCAUAGCACCAUUUGUGCAACGACGGAUUCGGCCUACUGACAAGGUUUUGAGGAUUUCCCUACUCUGCUAUGUGGAAAUGGAGACACUCAACAUCUCCUUAUAAAAUAUCUUGUGCCAGCCCUCAAGAUACAUGAAGCUGUGGGCCCUCAGAAACAUCUGGCUCAGCAGAAAUGACUGCAGGGUCUGCCUCUGAAGCCCAGCGUUUCUACUCCAUUUGGGAUAUUCCACACAGGAAGAGAAUUGGAAAUGCUGGAGAAGCUCUGGAAGCCCACAGAGAACAGAUGCAUAAACACCAUUUACCAGACACAGCUCAGCAAACCCUCUCUCUCUUCCUUCCAGCAGCUUGGUUGUCCUCAAGGAGUUCCUAAAUUUCAUACUUCUGAGGGUUAUAUGGGAUGGUGAGGGGUGGAGGAGAGUAGCACGGAUUGAAAAAUACAUUAAUGUUGGCUGGGCACAGUGGCUCACACCUGUAAUCCCAGCGCUUUGGGAGGCCGAGGCUGGUAGAUCACCUGAGGUCAGGAGUUUGAGACCAGCCUGGCCAACAUGGCGAAACCCCAUCUCUACUAAAAAUACAAAAUUUAGCUGGGUGUGAUGGCACAUGCUUGUAAUCCCAGCUACUCAGGAGGCUGAGGCAGGAGAAUCGCUUGAACCCAGGAAGCGGAGGUUGCAGUGAGCUGAGAUUGCAGCAUUGCACUCCAGCCUGGGCAACAAGAGAGAUGCUCCAUCUUAAAAAAAAAAAGAAAAAUACAUUAAAGUGUACCAAAAUAAAUAUAUGACAGCUUUUAAAUUAUUUUCCAUGGGAAAAAAACUUAUAAUUAGUGACAAUUACUUACUGAGGGCCUGCUGGGCUAGACAUUAUGGACAUUGUGAAAGAUAAAAAGUUCAAGACACAGACUCUGUUUUCAGGAUGUGUACGCUUUAAAUAUGAAGUUAACACAGGGCAGAAAAGUAGAUACACACAUGCACACACAUACCUAUACACACAUACCUACACACACACACACACACACACACACACACAAAUACUCCUCAGACCCAAAGGACGGAGACAUCACAAUGAACAAGAUGAACAAUUGGUAGGAUUUUAAAAGACUAUUUUCUUUUUCAGCAAGGAGGAUGGAGUGGGCAGGUAGGGGAUGGUAUUUAUUUCCCAAGCAAAUCAAUUAGAAAAAAUAUUUGUAUUUCAGUAAAUUUAUUUUUUUCAAUCUUCAGAUAUAAGAAGGCUUUUCCAUGAAAAACACUCUAUUUA
This 2807-nucleotide long non-coding RNA is filed under the name Homo sapiens (human). RNAcentral describes it as "HSALNT0137778". Lineage: Eukaryota; Metazoa; Chordata; Mammalia; Primates; Hominidae. The record is from RNAcentral.